ACCUCCCCAUCUCUAGAUUAGCUCCAAGUUGCCUAGGCCCCGAUCAAUCCUCUCCUUAACAAACUUCCUUUUACCUGCGUCCACAUCGCUUAUAGCAACCUCUGCAACUUCCUCAAUCAGUAGCUUCCGACGCGAUACAUUAACUUUUCUACUCCCAGCAGAUCUCCCACCUAACUGAUCGUACUUGGUUUCACUCAAGCUCCGAGGUACUACAGCUGCAGAGAACUGUCCAUGGUUUCCAAACACAUCAAGAUUACUGCUAGAUGCCGAAUCAAAUACAUGUUUGAAAAUCAUCCCCAAAGACCUCGCAGUACCCCUAUCAGGCACAUCUGACAGUGCCGCCAGUUUCUGCUCCUGCUUCUCAUUUAUCACCAGCUCCUGCUUCUCAUUUAACAUCCCCACCGAAUCCCCAGGAACCUCCUCCACCUUAUUCUGUUUCAGCCCAAAAGUACCAAUGUUAUCUAGACUCCCACAUAAGUCAACCACACCACCCCUACUUCCAGCAUCUUGGAGUUGAGAAUUACAAGACUGAACGUACUCUUCCAAACUGGGAGAUGUUACAAGUUAGAGUUCAUGCUCUCUGCAGCUCAUUAUAUUGGGACAGAGAAGCUAGGGGAUAAAUCAUCCUCCACUUGGACCAAGAAGGAUCAAAAGGAAUGGUAUAAAAUUAUGAAGGAAUUUAAGAUGGUACACUGGAAGGUGGUGUCACUGACAAACUCACUUACUCCCCACAAGAAUACAUUUAAUGGUCAGUGAAGUCUGAUUAUGUUGCUGCAGGUCUAUAUUAUGGGGUCAACAUAUCCUGUGUUGAUGAGGUUGUGCCUGUCUUCACAAGUCGUAAACCUGCAUUUCAAUUCUAGUUUAAGUAACGGUUGUAUUCUCAUUUCGGAUUAUCAAUGAAGAAUAUGAAUCUUUAACUUCAUUUCCUCUCAGUUUGUGCAAUUUAUCUCUUCAAUUUCCUUCCAUGGAUUACGCUCCUAACAGGAACUUAAUAUAAGAGCUUAUAUAUGUCUUUUAAGAGCUAAAUGUUAUAGUAUGGUAGUAGUUUGUCACCAAAAUAGAGGUGGCACAAGGUUAAUGACAGAAUAAAGUU
This 1093-nucleotide long non-coding RNA is filed under the name Fragaria vesca (wild strawberry). RNAcentral describes it as "long non-coding RNA (FVES_LNC003898)". Lineage: Eukaryota; Viridiplantae; Streptophyta; Magnoliopsida; Rosales; Rosaceae. The record is from RNAcentral.